CCUACGGGUGGCUGCAGUGGGGAAUAUUGCACAAUGGGCGCAAGCCUGAUGCAGCCAUGCCGCGUGUGUGAAGAAGGCCUUCGGGUUGUAAAGCACUUUCAGCGGGGAGGAAGGCGUUAAGGUUAAUAACCUUGUCGAUUGACGUUACCCGCAGAAGAAGCACCGGCUAACUCCGUGCCAGCAGCCGCGGUAAUACGGAGGGUGCAAGCGUUAAUCGGAAUUACUGGGCGUAAAGCGCACGCAGGCGGUCCGUCAAGUCGGAUGUGAAAUCCCCGGGCUCAACCUGGGAACUGCAUUCGAAACUGGCAGGCUAGAGUCUUGUAGAGGGGGGUAGAAUUCCAGGUGUAGCGGUGAAAUGCGUAGAGAUCUGGAGGAAUACCGGUGGCGAAGGCGGCCCCCUGGACAAAGACUGACGCUCAGGUGCGAAAGCGUGGGGAGCAAACAGGAUUAGAUACCCGUGUAGUC
This 465-nucleotide ribosomal RNA is filed under the name uncultured Klebsiella sp. RNAcentral's name for it is "bacterial SSU rRNA". It matches the Rfam family "Bacterial small subunit ribosomal RNA", at positions 338 to 795 of the family's 1533-position model. Lineage: Bacteria; Pseudomonadati; Pseudomonadota; Gammaproteobacteria; Enterobacterales; Enterobacteriaceae. The record is from RNAcentral.